CAUGGACGAAAAUUCUGGUGUUAAAAGAAGGAUUUGACAUCAAAUCAAUUUAGAUGCAAUUUCCUUAAGUGUGCACUUUAGGAAAUAGGCAGAAAUUCUUUUAUCUCCUAAUCUGGAUUCAACCAAAUUCAAAAUUCAAAAUUGAUUCCCAUAAAUUACAGCAAUCAAUUGAGAUAGGUAAGGCAAUAUGGACGAAAAAGGAAACAUACCACAAUUUCGGCCAGAUCAAGAUAAAUAAGGUAAAGGCGAUUUUUGAUUUUUUUUUUUUUUUUUUUUAGGAUUUCGAUUUUUUUUUUAUAACUAAUAAUCAAGAAGGUGCAGCCAUGGACACACAAGCUUUC
Molecule: long non-coding RNA, 341 nt
Filed under: Manihot esculenta (cassava)
Lineage: Eukaryota; Viridiplantae; Streptophyta; Magnoliopsida; Malpighiales; Euphorbiaceae
Description: long non-coding RNA (MESC_LNC007063)
Source: RNAcentral